Molecule: transfer RNA, 72 nt
Filed under: Bos taurus (domestic cattle)
Lineage: Eukaryota; Metazoa; Chordata; Mammalia; Artiodactyla; Bovidae
Also listed under: 1 other name
Rfam family: tRNA
About the family: Transfer RNA (tRNA) molecules are approximately 80 nucleotides in length. Their secondary structure includes four short double-helical elements and three loops (D, anti-codon, and T loops).
Source: Rfam by way of RNAcentral
UCCCUGGUAGCUCAGCGGUUAAAAUGUCUGCCUGUAAUGCAGGAGACCCAGGUUUGAUCCCUGGGUUGGGAA